RNAcentral lists this ribosomal RNA (238 nucleotides) under uncultured bacterium. Its description in RNAcentral is "partial 16S ribosomal RNA". It matches the Rfam family "Bacterial small subunit ribosomal RNA", at positions 118 to 353 of the family's 1533-position model. The record is from RNAcentral.
UGGGUAACCUGCCUUAUAGUGGGGGAUAGCCUUUCGAAAGGAAGAUUAUACCGCAUAAGAUUGUAGUAUCGCAUGAUAUAGCAAUUAAAGGAGCAAUUCGCUAUAAGAUGGACCCGCGUCGCAUUAGCUAGUUGGUGAGGUAAUGGCUCACCAAGGCGACGAUGCGUAGCCGACCUGAGAGGGUGAUCGGCCACAUUGGGACUGAGACACGGCCCAGACUCCUACGGGAGGCAGCAUG